UAUCCCUAACCUCACCAAGCCAACCAUCCCCACACAUCGCGUGCCUUGGAUCGCGCCGCUGCCCUGCUCCCGUCGUUGUUCCCUUUCCCAUCCGCCACUGCUCUCCAUCGCAUCCAGCCUCUGUCACAUCCGAUCGGCUCCACCGCCACCAUGAACCAUCACUCUCCUUGGUCUCUUCUCUUUGACAUGCACACGACCGCAGAUGCUUUUGGUGGUGUGUGGCGACGCGGCCGAUCGAGGGAACCGGGGUGAGGCUGACUGUGUCCCGUUCGUCGAUCUGCCCCCAUCUCAUGUUCCUCCUCUCAAAAGGUCACGUUCGCAGUUACUGCGACACACAAUGCUAUCCUCUUUUGCAUCGGUGCCUAUAGGUGACAGCAAUGGUGUUCUGAUGUGCCCUGUUGUACCCCUCCACACUUGAGGCCACCGAGGAGAAGAUCAUGCUCCCUGUAGAAAAUUCGGCCAUGUUCUAAGUGGCUAACCGGCAAGGGUUGGACGACAUAAUGCCAACGACCUCACCCUAGGAGUCCACUUCACGGUCAUGGCAUCCGCCUCCACCAAUUUUCUAGAGGAGUUAAGUUCCAGAGACGAAUGGGGAGGUCAACUUUGAGAUGCAGCACUCUAUGUGUUCACGCAAUCGGAAUGGCCGAAAUAUCAUGCCAAUAUGAGGGACAUCCAAAAUAUCAAGCCAAUAUGCGUUUUAUGCCUUUCCUGUUAGGUAUGUUAUCAUUGAUUCAUAUGAUUAGUUGGUACUUCAGAAUAGGCACACACAUGUUUUCCAUCAUAAUCGAGAAAGUACAAAUUUUAGAUAUGGAUAUUAAGCUAUGAGGAGAACCUUAUUGGCUUGGACAUCAUAUUUUUUAGGUAGGCAAUCUUUAGUUCAUUAUGAUCAGUUAAUAUUCCUGAGCAGGGGAAGCCAUAUUGUCCACAAGGCUUGAGCAAGUCAGAUUUCUGAUAUAGAUUUUAAAUGAUCAAGACAACCUAAGUGGCUCUUUGCCAGGCCACCAUUGCCGAUAUUUAUGGAGCUGUUUUUAAAUGUGCAAAUGUCCAACCCAUUAAGACACCCUUUUAGGUUACAUAAGCAACUGCCAGUAUUUGUGGUAGUGCAUUUUACAACGAUUUGCAUAAAUUCUGCUGAGGAUAAUUAUAAAAUGCACAAAGCAUUUUAAGUUCUUUUUCCAGUUUUGUAAAUACUGAAUCAAAAUAUCGAAUAAAUAUUUUUAGGUUCAUUAAUAAAGAUAUAGUGCUCAUGUUUAGGAAGUGCCAAGUAUUAGAUGUUCCAUGUCUUUAUUAGCUUACUCUAAAUUUAAAGUACUAAAAGGUCUGAGUGGUGAGCGCUACUUCUUUGUUAUUUUAUUGUGUCUUCACAUUAUAAAAACUAGUAAAUGUGCCCGUGCGUUGCUACGGGCAAAACACGACUACACGAGGACUGUCUCGGUGUGUCAUGGCAAGCACUAAAAUUCAUCUCUGCGGGUUGCCCUUUCCUUGACCAGUAUGUACGAUUAAAGCAUGUAUAAUUAUUUCCUAUCUAAAUAGCAUCAUAGAUUUGUUGUUUUUGAAAUAACACUGAACAAAAGCAUGAGGGACUAAGAGCAGUAAGUUAGGAAACUCCUUUAGUACUCACAUAUUACAUGAAGAAUAAAUACGCCCACAAUCUUUGAAGGACUAAAUACCAUACUCAGAGAAUUAUCUACCAUGUUUGCAUUUAUCUGUAGCUUUCCUUGAUAUUGCAAAAUUCUGUGGAAACUUCUUUCUAGCUUCCAGUAACCACGACAUCAAUUCAGAUAAACAAAAUCCAUGAGCGAAAAAAAAUAAGAUAUGAAAGGGCCAUUGGCAGUGACUUUUCAUUUGUAUAUCUCAUUUUUCAGUCAUGUAUAUCGGAUGCUCGCAAGUGUUCUGCAUCAAUUUGAAAAA
Long non-coding RNA from Hordeum vulgare subsp. vulgare (domesticated barley), 1911 nucleotides. RefSeq lists it as uncharacterized. Lineage: Eukaryota; Viridiplantae; Streptophyta; Magnoliopsida; Poales; Poaceae. The transcript is spliced from 3 exons. The record is from RefSeq and is a predicted model, not a curated record.